RNAcentral lists this small nuclear RNA (108 nucleotides) under Choloepus hoffmanni (Hoffmann's two-fingered sloth). Lineage: Eukaryota; Metazoa; Chordata; Mammalia; Pilosa; Megalonychidae. The record is from RNAcentral.
GUGCUCACUUCGGCGGCACAUAUAUUAAAAUUGGAACGAUACAGAGAAGAUUAGCAUGGUCCCCUGUGCAAGGAUGACACACAAAUUUGAAAAGCAUUCCAUAUUUUU